Long non-coding RNA from Ruditapes philippinarum (Manila clam), 805 nucleotides. RefSeq lists it as uncharacterized. The transcript is spliced from 2 exons. NCBI's taxonomy places the organism in Eukaryota, Metazoa, Mollusca, Bivalvia, Venerida, Veneridae. The record is from RefSeq and is a predicted model, not a curated record.
UAUAUGAUCCUGAAAUAUCUAUACAUCAAAGAUAAAAAGGGAAAAGAUGAAGGAGGAUUUGUCCAUGAAGACCUUUAUUGCAACUACCAUCUUCCAGUUCCUUAAUUUGAGAAUGAUAUCAGAGAACACAAAGUUACAGUAAAAUAUUAGUUUAAUAUAAGCCACUGAGAAUAGUCAAAUGUACUUUCCUGAAGAAGAUGAAUGACAUCCAGCACAAAAAUAUUAAUGUAUAAAGAGUAUGAUUUUAUGGUGUUUGACACUAUGAUCUUGUUAACAUGUUAAUGUCACAAUGAUAGAAACAGAGUAAAAUAUCCACAUUUCAUUGCAGUUUUAAGUAUUAAAACUAGAUACUCUAUAUAUACCAAAGCUUAUACACACCAGAGAUAAGGUUUUUCAUGGAAUCACCGUAUAGUCAUAUGACAUUAUGGACAUUAAAUGACUAUGAAGUAAAGAUUAGCAAAAAUAUUAUAUAUCAUCUACUACUAAUAUUGUGAGGUAAUCAUUGAUAAGCUCACAAAUUUGCAUUCAAAGCUUUGAUAUCAAGCUGAACAUUUUUCAAUUAGAAUAUGAUUUAUAACUCUAUGAUAAUUUGUUCAUGUUAAUUUUCAAAGUCUUUACAUUUGUAAAAGGAAAUAUUCUUAUUCUUGUAUCAGUAGACAUUCACAGUGUAAAGUUACAUUGUCCAAAUAACUAAUAAUAAUUCCAAGUGCUUUCCUGAAGUUUUUCUUCCACUGGAAAAUCAGUGUGAUAUAUAUGCUAAGCAGUGCACUAUAAAUUGUGUAAAAAUAAAAGUUUAUUAAACUUA